RNAcentral lists this ribosomal RNA (253 nucleotides) under uncultured bacterium. RNAcentral describes it as "partial 16S ribosomal RNA". It matches the Rfam family "Bacterial small subunit ribosomal RNA", at positions 524 to 776 of the family's 1533-position model. The record is from RNAcentral.
UACGUAGGGUGCAAGCGUUGUUCGGAAUUACUGGGCGUAAAGGGCUCGUAGGCGGCCGACUAAGUCCGACGUGAAAUCCCUCGGCUUAACCGGGGAACUGCGUCCGAUACUGGUUGGCUUGAGUUUGGGAGAGGGAUGCGGAAUUCCAGGUGUAGCGGUGAAAUGCGUAGAUAUCUGGAGGAACACCGGUGGCGAAGGCGGCAUCCUGGACCAAUACUGACGCUCAUGUGCGAAAGCGUGGGGAGCAAACAGG